GGGUUGUGAGGUUAAGCGACUAAGCGUACACGGUGGAUGCCCUGGCAGUCAGAGGCGAUGAAGGACGUGCUAAUCUGCGAUAAGCGUCGGUAAGGUGAUAUGAACCGUUAUAACCGGCGAUUUCCGAAUGGGGAAACCCAGUGUGAUUCGUCACACUAUCAUUAACUGAAUCCAUAGGUUAAUGAGGCGAACCGGGGGAACUGAAACAUCUAAGUACCCCGAGGAAAAGAAAUCAACCGAGAUUCCCCCAGUAGCGGCGAGCGAACGGGGAGGAGCCCAGAGCCUGAAUCAGUGUGUGUGUUAGUGGAAGCGUCUGGAAAGGCGCGCGAUACAGGGUGACAGCCCCGUACACAAAAAUGCACAUACUGUGAGCUCGAUGAGUAGGGCGGGACACGUGGUAUCCUGUCUGAAUAUGGGGGGACCAUCCUCCAAGGCUAAAUACUCCUGACUGACCGAUAGUGAACCAGUACCGUGAGGGAAAGGCGAAAAGAACCCCGGCGAGGGGAGUGAAAAAGAACCUGAAACCGUGUACGUACAAGCAGUGGGAGCCUCUUUUAUGGGGUGACUGCGUACCUUUUGUAUAAUGGGUCAGCGACUUAUAUUCUGUAGCAAGGUUAACCGAAUAGGGGAGCCGAAGGGAAACCGAGUCUUAACUGGGCGUUAAGUUGCAGGGUAUAGACCCGAAACCCGGUGAUCUAGCCAUGGGCAGGUUGAAGGUUGGGUAACACUAACUGGAGGACCGAACCGACUAAUGUUGAAAAAUUAGCGGAUGACUUGUGGCUGGGGGUGAAAGGCCAAUCAAACCGGGAGAUAGCUGGUUCUCCCCGAAAGCUAUUUAGGUAGCGCCUCGUGAAUUCAUCUCCGGGGGUAGAGCACUGUUUCGGCAAGGGGGUCAUCCCGACUUACCAACCCGAUGCAAACUGCGAAUACCGGAGAAUGUUAUCACGGGAGACACACGGCGGGUGCUAACGUCCGUCGUGAAGAGGGAAACAACCCAGACCGCCAGCUAAGGUCCCAAAGUCAUGGUUAAGUGGGAAACGAUGUGGGAAGGCCCAGACAGCCAGGAUGUUGGCUUAGAAGCAGCCAUCAUUUAAAGAAAGCGUAAUAGCUCACUGGUCGAGUCGGCCUGCGCGGAAGAUGUAACGGGGCUAAACCAUGCACCGAAGCUGCGGCAGCGACACUGUGUGUUGUUGGGUAGGGGAGCGUUCUGUAAGCCUGUGAAGGUGUGCUGUGAGGCAUGCUGGAGGUAUCAGAAGUGCGAAUGCUGACAUAAGUAACGAUAAAGCGGGUGAAAAGCCCGCUCGCCGGAAGACCAAGGGUUCCUGUCCAACGUUAAUCGGGGCAGGGUGAGUCGACCCCUAAGGCGAGGCCGAAAGGCGUAGUCGAUGGGAAACAGGUUAAUAUUCCUGUACUUGGUGUUACUGCGAAGGGGGGACGGAGAAGGCUAUGUUGGCCGGGCGACGGUUGUCCCGGUUUAAGCGUGUAGGCUGGUUUUCCAGGCAAAUCCGGAAAAUCAAGGCUGAGGCGUGAUGACGAGGCACUACGGUGCUGAAGCAACAAAUGCCCUGCUUCCAGGAAAAGCCUCUAAGCAUCAGGUAACAUCAAAUCGUACCCCAAACCGACACAGGUGGUCAGGUAGAGAAUACCAAGGCGCUUGAGAGAACUCGGGUGAAGGAACUAGGCAAAAUGGUGCCGUAACUUCGGGAGAAGGCACGCUGAUAUGUAGGUGAAGUCCCUCGCGGAUGGAGCUGAAAUCAGUCGAAGAUACCAGCUGGCUGCAACUGUUUAUUAAAAACACAGCACUGUGCAAACACGAAAGUGGACGUAUACGGUGUGACGCCUGCCCGGUGCCGGAAGGUUAAUUGAUGGGGUCAGCGCAAGCGAAGCUCUUGAUCGAAGCCCCGGUAAACGGCGGCCGUAACUAUAACGGUCCUAAGGUAGCGAAAUUCCUUGUCGGGUAAGUUCCGACCUGCACGAAUGGCGUAAUGAUGGCCAGGCUGUCUCCACCCGAGACUCAGUGAAAUUGAACUCGCUGUGAAGAUGCAGUGUACCCGCGGCAAGACGGAAAGACCCCGUGAACCUUUACUAUAGCUUGACACUGAACAUUGAGCCUUGAUGUGUAGGAUAGGUGGGAGGCUUUGAAGUGUGGACGCCAGUCUGCAUGGAGCCGACCUUGAAAUACCACCCUUUAAUGUUUGAUGUUCUAACGUGGACCCGUGAUCCGGGUUGCGGACAGUGUCUGGUGGGUAGUUUGACUGGGGCGGUCUCCUCCUAAAGAGUAACGGAGGAGCACGAAGGUUGGCUAAUCCUGGUCGGACAUCAGGAGGUUAGUGCAAUGGCAUAAGCCAGCUUGACUGCGAGCGUGACGGCGCGAGCAGGUGCGAAAGCAGGUCAUAGUGAUCCGGUGGUUCUGAAUGGAAGGGCCAUCGCUCAACGGAUAAAAGGUACUCCGGGGAUAACAGGCUGAUACCGCCCAAGAGUUCAUAUCGACGGCGGUGUUUGGCACCUCGAUGUCGGCUCAUCACAUCCUGGGGCUGAAGUAGGUCCCAAGGGUAUGGCUGUUCGCCAUUUAAAGUGGUACGCGAGCUGGGUUUAGAACGUCGUGAGACAGUUCGGUCCCUAUCUGCCGUGGGCGCUGGAGAACUGAGGGGGGCUGCUCCUAGUACGAGAGGACCGGAGUGGACGCAUCACUGGUGUUCGGGUUGUCAUGCCAAUGGCACUGCCCGGUAGCUAAAUGCGGAAGAGAUAAGUGCUGAAAGCAUCUAAGCACGAAACUUGCCCCGAGAUGAGUUCUCCCUGACCCUUUAAGGGUCCUGAAGGAACGUUGAAGACGACGACGUUGAUAGGCCGGGUGUGUAAGCGCAGCGAUGCGUUGAGCUAACCGGUACUAAUGAACCGUGAGGCUUAACCUUACAACGCCGAAGGUGUUU
RNAcentral lists this ribosomal RNA (2930 nucleotides) under Escherichia coli. RNAcentral's name for it is "bacterial LSU rRNA". It matches the Rfam family "Bacterial large subunit ribosomal RNA". The record is from RNAcentral. RNAcentral also lists the same sequence under 2 other names. Lineage: Bacteria; Pseudomonadati; Pseudomonadota; Gammaproteobacteria; Enterobacterales; Enterobacteriaceae.